Molecule: ribosomal RNA, 440 nt
Filed under: Lactococcus lactis
Lineage: Bacteria; Bacillati; Bacillota; Bacilli; Lactobacillales; Streptococcaceae
Description: bacterial SSU rRNA
Rfam family: Bacterial small subunit ribosomal RNA
Source: RNAcentral
GACGAACGCUGGCGGCGUGCCUAAUACAUGCAAGUUGAGCGCUGAAGGUUGGUACUUGUACCAACUGGAUGAGCAGCGAACGGGUGAGUAACGCGUGGGGAAUCUGCCUUUGAGCGGGGGACAACAUUUGGAAACGAAUGCUAAUACCGCAUAAAAACUUUAAACACAAGUUUUAAGUUUGAAAGAUGCAAUUGCAUCACUCAAAGAUGAUCCCGCGUUGUAUUAGCUAGUUGGUGAGGUAAAGGCUCACCAAGGCGAUGAUACAUAGCCGACCUGAGAGGGUGAUCGGCCACAUUGGGACUGAGACACGGCCCAAACUCCUACGGGAGGCAGCAGUAGGGAAUCUUCGGCAAUGGACGAAAGUCUGACCGAGCAACGCCGCGUGAGUGAAGAAAGGUUUUCGGAUCGUAAAAACUCUGUUGGUAGAGAAAGAAACCGUG